AUUGAACGCUGGCGGAAUGCUUUACACAUGCAAGUCGAACGGCAGCACGGGAGCUUGCUCCUGGUGGCGAGUGGCGAACGGGUGAGUAAUAUAUCGGAACGUAUCCAAUAAUGGGGGAUAACUAGUCGAAAGAUUAGCUAAUACCGCAUACGCCCUGAGGGGGAAAGCUGGGGAUCUUCGGACCUAGCGUUAAUGGAGCGGCCGAUAUCUGAUUAGCUAGUAGGUGAGGUAAAAGAUCACCUAGGCGACGAUCAGUAGCUGGUCUGAGAGGACGAAGAGCCAGACUGGAACUUAGACACGGUCCAGACUCCUACGGGAGGCAGCAUUGGGGAAUUUUGGACAAUGGGCGCAAGCCUGAUCCAGCCAUUCCGGGUGAGUGAAGAAGGCCUUCGGGUUGUAAAGCUCUUUCGCAAGGGAAGAAAACUUAACCUCUAACAUAGGUUGAGGCUGACGGUACCUUGAUAAGAAGCACCGGCUAACUACGUGCCAGCCGCCGCAGUAA
Molecule: ribosomal RNA, 502 nt
Filed under: uncultured bacterium
Lineage: Bacteria
Description: partial 16S ribosomal RNA
Rfam family: Bacterial small subunit ribosomal RNA
Source: RNAcentral